RNAcentral lists this ribosomal RNA (611 nucleotides) under Acaulium sp. 1 RJ2014. RNAcentral describes it as "eukaryotic LSU rRNA". It matches the Rfam family "Eukaryotic large subunit ribosomal RNA", at positions 1 to 630 of the family's 3401-position model. The record is from RNAcentral. Lineage: Eukaryota; Fungi; Ascomycota; Sordariomycetes; Microascales; Microascaceae.
UUGACCUCGGAUCAGGUAGGGUUACCCGCUGAACUUAAGCAUAUCAAUAAGCGGAGGAAAAGAAACCAACAGGGAUUGCCUCAGUAACGGCGAGUGAAGCGGCAACAGCUCAAAUUUGAAAUCUGGUCACCUCACGGAGGCCCGAGUUGUAAUUUGAAGAGGAUGCUUUUGGCGAGGUGCCUUCCGAGUGCCCUGGAACGGGACGCCACAGAGGGUGAGAGCCCCGUAUGGUUGGACGCCGAGCCUAUGUAAAGCUCCUUCGACGAGUCGAGUAGUUUGGGAAUGCUGCUCAAAAUGGGAGGUAAACCCCUUCUAAAGCUAAAUAUUGGCCAGAGACCGAUAGCGCACAAGUAGAGUGAUCGAAAGAUGAAAAGCACUUUGAAAAGAGAGUUAAAAAGCACGUGAAAUUGUUGAAAGGGAAGCGCUUGCGACCAGACUUGCGCCCGUCGGAUCAACCGUCGCUUGUCGGCGGCUCACUCCGGCGGGCUCAGGCCAGCAUCAGUUUCCCCGGGGGGAGAAAGGCGGUGGGAAUGUAGCUCCUAGGAGUGUUAUAGCCCGCCGCGUAAUACCUUCGGGGGGACUGAGGACCGCGCAUCUGCAAGGAUGCUGGC